Molecule: long non-coding RNA, 373 nt
Organism: Glycine soja
Lineage: Eukaryota; Viridiplantae; Streptophyta; Magnoliopsida; Fabales; Fabaceae
Exons: 2
Source: RefSeq, a predicted model, not a curated record
ACAUUGGGCAUAUUUAUAAAGUAAAUUAUGUUUUUGGUCCCGCCAACCUAUUUAGCUUUUAUGGUUUGGAUCCCUUAACUUUUCAAAGGGUGUUUGGGUUGGGUCGCUCCUUGACGGUGAUGGGUGCUGAUCACAAUGGUUGGGUUUGGUGGCUAUGGCGGCAUGACGGUGGUGGUGGCUUGGGUGGCGGCGGCAUGCUGAAGAGAUGGUGCAAGUGCUAUUGUUUGGUUAUGUUUGGGUAUGGUUUCAGAUCUAGAUCCUUCUUUGAGCAGUUGCUUCUUCAGUUCUCACAAAUUUAGCGUGUUUAAUGAUUAUGUGAACAAGAAGUAUCUCAUUCAUCUGGUUUCAGUUAUAGUUCCGUAGAUUUUUUAAA